GCCCUCUGGAGAAUCCCUUAAGUGGGUGCCGAAGGUGAAAGCAGGACAUAGUUCCCGCGAAUCUCUCAGGCAAAAGGACAGUGUG
Molecule: non-coding RNA, 85 nt
Filed under: uncultured Lachnoclostridium sp.
Lineage: Bacteria; Bacillati; Bacillota; Clostridia; Lachnospirales; Lachnospiraceae
Description: Glycine riboswitch
Rfam family: Glycine riboswitch aptamer (bases 6-81)
About the family: This family represents the bacterial glycine riboswitch. Glycine riboswitches usually consist of two metabolite-binding aptamers domains with similar structures in tandem.
Source: RNAcentral